Molecule: ribosomal RNA, 421 nt
Filed under: uncultured bacterium
Lineage: Bacteria
Description: partial 16S ribosomal RNA
Rfam family: Bacterial small subunit ribosomal RNA
Source: RNAcentral
AAUAUUUUACAAUGGGGGCAACCCUGAUCCAGCCAUCCCGCGUGUGUGAAGUAGAUCUUAGGAUUGUCCCGAACUGUAAGUUGAGAGGAAGGGCUUUAGGUUAAUACCCUGUUGUUUUGACGUUACCAACAGAAUAAGCACCGGCUCACUCUGUCCCAGAAUCCGCGGUAAUACAGAGGGUGCAAGCGUUAAUCGGAAUUACUGGGCGUAAAGCGCGCGUAGGUGGUUCAGUAAGAUGGGUGUGAAAUCCCCGGGCUUAACCUGGGAACUGCUUUCAUAACUGCUGAGCUAGAGUACGGUAGAGGGUAGUGGAAUUUCCUGUGUAGCGGUGAAAUGCGUAGAUAUAGGAAGGAACACCAGUGGCGAAGGCGACUACCUGGACUGAUACUGACACUGAGGUGCGAAAGCGUGGGGAGCAAAC